Molecule: unclassified non-coding RNA, 284 nt
Filed under: plant metagenome
Description: partial contains small subunit ribosomal RNA, internal transcribed spacer 1, and 5.8S ribosomal RNA
Rfam family: Eukaryotic small subunit ribosomal RNA (bases 1-53)
Source: RNAcentral
GGUAGUAAAAGUCGUACAAGGUUUCCGUAGGUGAACCUGCGGAAGGAUCAUUAUUGUAUAACCGAGGUGCGAGGGCUGUCGCUGACCCGAAAGGUCGUGCACGCCCGAGUGCCCUCACACACAUCCAUCUCACCCCUAUGUGCACCACCGCGUGGGUCCCCCUUUGGCUUGUUCGGAGGGGGGCUUACGUUUUCACACAAACUUUGUAUGCAGUGUAGAAUGUAUUUUUUGUUUUUGCGAUCACGCAAUCAAUACAACUUUCAACAACGGAUCUCUUGGCUCUC